This is a non-coding RNA of Triticum aestivum (bread wheat), 116 nucleotides long. NCBI's taxonomy places the organism in Eukaryota, Viridiplantae, Streptophyta, Magnoliopsida, Poales, Poaceae. The record is from Rfam.
AUACUACUCCCUCCGUCCUAAAAUAAGUGACUCAAAAAUGACACAACUUUGUACUACUGUUAGUACAAAGUUGAGUAAGUUUUGAGUCACUUAUUUUGGGACGGAGGGAGUAGUAU